This is a long non-coding RNA of Megachile rotundata (alfalfa leafcutting bee), 523 nucleotides long. Lineage: Eukaryota; Metazoa; Arthropoda; Insecta; Hymenoptera; Megachilidae. The record is from RefSeq and is a predicted model, not a curated record.
AAUCUGUUGGUAUUUUUGAUAUAAUAUUUCUUGAACAGCUUUUCCCGCGAUUCCUGCUACGUGUGCACCGAGACUGUGACCCACGAUUAAGGUAUAUAACAUGUGAAUAUAAACGGAAAUACUUAGUCAGAUGUUCGCUGACAACGUGAAUAUUGUUAACAGCACUAUUAUAAGCGAGCAAGUCGGACAGACUGAAUCCAUCGCUACAGGCAGCGUUUGACCAAUCUAAUGAAAAAAUAUUGAUGUCUUCCUAAAGAAUUUGGCUUCAGAAAUAAAACCGUGUAUAAGGAACACCACCUUUUUGUUAGCACGUAAUGGGAUAUAUUCAUCUUGUAAACGAACUUCUUCUCCAUAUGGUUUUUCUCUAUGACAUGGAUUGACACAGAAAAAAGUAAUUCAAUUAUAUUCAAAAUUUGACUAUAUUAUUUUGUGCAUAAUAAAUUUACCUUGUGUACAAAUAAUAUGAUACCGAUUCCACUCCGAAAACGCACGAUGGAAUUAUGUCGGUAAUAAUAUUAUUUUC